Molecule: ribosomal RNA, 460 nt
Filed under: uncultured bacterium
Lineage: Bacteria
Description: partial 16S ribosomal RNA
Rfam family: Bacterial small subunit ribosomal RNA
Source: RNAcentral
CCUACGGGAGGCAGCAGUGAGGAAUAUUGGUCAAUGGGCACUAGCCUGAAGCAGCCAAGUAGCGUGAAGGAUGAAGGACCUAUGGGUUGUAAACUUCAUCAGUAUGGGAAUAAAGUGCAGUAUGUAUACAGCUUUGCAUGUACAUCUUGAAUAAGGAUGGGCUAACUACGUGCAAGCAGCCGCGGUAAUACGGAGGAUCCGAGCGUUAUCCGGAUUUAUUGGGUUUAAAGGGAGCGUAGGCGGGUUGUUAAGUCAGUUGUGAAAGUUUGCGGCUCAACCGUAAAAUUGCAGUUGAUACUGGCAUCCUUGAGUACAGUAGAGGUAGGCGGAAUUCGUGGUGUAGCGGUGAAAUGCUUAGAUAUCACGAAGAACUCCGAUUGCGAAGGCAGCCUGCUGGACUGUAACUGACGCUGAUGCUCGAAAGUGUGGGUAUCAAACAGGAUUAGAUACCCCAGUAGUC